Molecule: non-coding RNA, 135 nt
Filed under: Desulfotomaculum sp.
Lineage: Bacteria; Bacillati; Bacillota; Clostridia; Eubacteriales; Desulfotomaculaceae
Also listed under: 1 other name
Description: Glycine sequence
Rfam family: Glycine riboswitch aptamer
About the family: This family represents the bacterial glycine riboswitch. Glycine riboswitches usually consist of two metabolite-binding aptamers domains with similar structures in tandem. The aptamers cooperatively bind glycine to regulate the expression of downstream genes.
Source: RNAcentral
GGACGGACCUCUGGAGAGAGCCCGGCUACGGACAUGAUCCGGACCGGGACACCGACGGGGCAAGUUUUGACGGGCGGCUGUUUAAAUGCUGCCGCCGGAAACGAAACUCUCAGGUAACAGGACAGAGGAGAUGUU